UAUAAUGGGUCAGCGACUUAUAUUCUGUAGCAAGGUUAACCGUAUAGGGGAGCCGCAGGGAAACCGAGUCUUAACUGGGCGUUAAGUUGCAGGGUAUAGACCCGAAACCCGGUGAUCUAGCCAUGGGCAGGUUGAAGGUUGGGUAACACUAACUGGAGGACCGAACCGACUAAUGUUGAAAAAUUAGCGGAUGACUUGUGGCUGGGGGUGAAAGGCCAAUCAAACCGGGAGAUAGCUGGUUCUCCCCGAAAGCUAUUUAGGUAGCGCCUCGUGAAUUCAUCUUCGGGGGUAGAGCACUGUUUCGGCUAGGGGGUCAUCCCGACUUACCAACCCGAUGCAAACUACGAAUACCGAAGAAUGUUAUCACGGGAGACACACGGCGGGUGCUAACGUCCGUCGUGAAGAGGGAAACAACCCAGACCGCCAGCUAAGGUCCCAAAGUCAUGGUUAAGUGGGAAACGAUGUGGGAAGGCACAGACAGCCAGGAUGUUGGCUUAGAAGCAGCCAUCAUUUAAAGAAAGCGUAAUAGCUCACUGGUCGAGUCGGCCUGCGCGGAAGAUGUAACGGGGCUAAACCAUGCACCGAAGCUGCGGCAGCGACACUAUGUGUUGUUGGGUAGGGGAGCGUUCUGUAAGCCUGCGAAGGUGUGCUGUGAGGCAUGCUGGAGGUAUCAGAAGUGCGAAUGCUGACAUAAGUAACGAUAAAGCGGGUGAAAAGCCCGCUCGCCGGAAGACCAAGGGUUCCUGUCCAACGUUAAUCGGGGCAGGGUGAGUCGACCCCUAAGGCGAGGCCGAAAGGCGUAGUCGAUGGGAAACAGGUUAAUAUUCCUGUACUUGGUGUUACUGCGAAGGGGGGACGGAGAAGGCUAUGUUAGCCGGGCGACGGUUGUC
This 890-nucleotide ribosomal RNA is filed under the name Klebsiella pneumoniae. RNAcentral describes it as "partial 23S ribosomal RNA". It matches the Rfam family "Bacterial large subunit ribosomal RNA", at positions 611 to 1506 of the family's 2925-position model. The record is from RNAcentral. Lineage: Bacteria; Pseudomonadati; Pseudomonadota; Gammaproteobacteria; Enterobacterales; Enterobacteriaceae. RNAcentral also lists the same sequence under 1 other name.